GACGAACGCUGGCGGCGUGCUUAACGCAUGCAAGUCGAACGAGGUCCAACCAGCUUGCUGGGGAAGACCUAGUGGCGAACGGGUGAGUAACACGUGAGGAACCCACCCUGGAGACCGGGAUAACCCUCCGAAAGGAGAGCUAAUACCGGAUGCCCUCAUCGGGCCGCAUGACCUGAUGAGGAAAUGGAUUCCGCUCCAGGACGGCCUCGCGGCCUAUCAGCUUGUUGGUGGGGUAACGGCCACCAAGGCAUCGACGGGUAGCUGGUCUGAGAGGACGGUCAGCCACACUGGGACUGAGACACGGCCCAGACUCCUACGGGAGGCAGCAGCGGGGAAUAUUGCGCAAUGGGCGAAAGCCUGACGCAGCAACGCCGCGUGAGGGAUGAAGGCUCUCGGGUUGUAAACCUCUUUCAGCAGGGACGAUUGUGACGGUACCUGCAGAAGAGGCCCCGGCCAACUACGUGCCAGCAGCCGCGGUAACACGUAGGGGGCGAGCGUUGUCCGGAUUUAUUGGGCGUAAAGAGCUCGUAGGUGGUUCGGUAAGUCGGGUGUGAAAACUCUGGGCUCAACUCAGAGACGCCACCCGAUACUGCUGUGACUUGAGUCUGGUAGGGGAGUGUGGAAUU
This 626-nucleotide ribosomal RNA is filed under the name uncultured bacterium. RNAcentral's name for it is "bacterial SSU rRNA". It matches the Rfam family "Bacterial small subunit ribosomal RNA", at positions 28 to 668 of the family's 1533-position model. The record is from RNAcentral.